This 275-nucleotide small RNA is filed under the name Drosophila ananassae. Its description in RNAcentral is "GF27231". The record is from RNAcentral. Lineage: Eukaryota; Metazoa; Arthropoda; Insecta; Diptera; Drosophilidae.
AAAUCAGCCCCUUUAAGAUGAGGUUCUCAGUAUUGUGUGGUGUAUUUCUACUUUUUGUAGCCUAUGUUGGACUAAGUGAGGCACAACCACCCCCCUUUCCCUCGCGACCCCGUUUCACUCGUAGACCAGAACAAGGUAAACACGAUGCUCCUCCACCAAAGAAGGACUGAUUCCAAAAAGAAAAACGAAAUGAAUAAUAUAUUAUAGUAUAUUAUUGUAUUAUAUAUGUGUACCCUGUCUUUUACGGAAAAGAAUAAUAUAUGUAGGAUACAGUA